Molecule: ribosomal RNA, 253 nt
Filed under: uncultured bacterium
Lineage: Bacteria
Description: partial 16S ribosomal RNA
Rfam family: Bacterial small subunit ribosomal RNA
Source: RNAcentral
UACAGAGGUCUCGAGCGUUGUUCGGAUUCAUUGGGCGUAAAGGGUGCGUAGGCGGCGGGGUAAGUCUGAUGUGAAAUCCCGGGGCUCAACCCUGGAACUGCAUUGGAUACUGCCUUGCUUGAGAGCUGGAGAGGAAACUGGAAUUUACGGUGUAGCAGUGAAAUGCGCAGAUAUCAGGAGGAACACCGGUGGCGAAGGCGGGUCUCUGGGCCGAUACUGACGCUGAGGAGCGAAAGCGUGGGGAGCGAACAGG